RNAcentral lists this ribosomal RNA (426 nucleotides) under uncultured bacterium. RNAcentral's name for it is "bacterial SSU rRNA". It matches the Rfam family "Bacterial small subunit ribosomal RNA", at positions 356 to 773 of the family's 1533-position model. The record is from RNAcentral.
GGGGAAUUGUUCGCAAUGGGCGCAAGCCUGACGACGCAACGCCGCGUGGAGGACGAAGAUCUUCGGGUCGUAAACUCCUUUCGAUCGGGAAGAACGCCUUCCGGGUGAAUAAUCCGGAAGGGUGACGGUACCGAGAGAAGAAGCCCCGGCUAACUCCGUGCCAGCAGCCGCGGUAAUACGUAGGGGGCGAGCGGUGUCCGGAGUUACUGGGCGUAAAGCGCACGCAGGCGGUGCUGCAAGUUUGGGGUGACAGCUCUCGGCUCAACCGAGAGAGCGUCUCGAAGACUGCAGGACUUGAGGGCCAGAGAGGGACACAGAAUUCCGGGUGGAGUGGUGAAAUGCGUAGAUAUCCGGAGGAAUACCAAAGGCGAAGGCAGUGUCCUGGCUGGCACCUGACGCUCAGGUGCGAAAGCUAGGGGAGCGAAC